Gossypium arboreum is the source of this 372-nucleotide long non-coding RNA. RefSeq lists it as uncharacterized. The record is from RefSeq and is a predicted model, not a curated record. NCBI's taxonomy places the organism in Eukaryota, Viridiplantae, Streptophyta, Magnoliopsida, Malvales, Malvaceae. The transcript is spliced from 2 exons.
UCAAGAGCAAAGGGGAUCUAAAUCCGAUAAAGGGAAGGAAAAGGUGGUCGAAUAGCCAUCGAAAUCGUUCUACAACAUCCGAGAUUUUGGCUCGUCAGCUAUCGGACUCGGGAUUUUUGGAAGUCGAAGUCUCCCACACUAUCAAAGCCCCCUUUUGGUACAAAUUUUGGUUGAACUUUGAAAUGGCAUGUAUAGGACUACUCUUUCGUUUGUUGGUCAUAGGCCCCUUUGAUUUUGUAUAAAUUUGGAUAGCCAUGCGAAAAUGGCUUAUAUAAACUUUGGCAUGCUAUCAUAAUCAUUUUGUAUGUUGUUCAUUAAGAGGUAUGGAAAUGUUUGGAAACGAUUAGCCAUUGGAAUGGUUAAUCAUGAUCA